This 840-nucleotide long non-coding RNA is filed under the name Citrus x clementina. RNAcentral's name for it is "Citrus clementina (C. clementina) long non-coding RNA (CCLE_LNC005599)". Lineage: Eukaryota; Viridiplantae; Streptophyta; Magnoliopsida; Sapindales; Rutaceae. The record is from RNAcentral.
AAAAUUUUAAUAUUAUUUCUCCUUAAUACCCCUGUUAAAUACAGUUAUGUCCUACUAUAUAAUUUAUUUUUUUACAUAAACCAAGACCUUCAUGAAAUAUGAGGAUUUAAACAAUCGCUUAAUUCGACCAACUCUGAAUAAAAAUAUGUUAAAUAUGAUUCUUGUAUUGAAUAAACAGUUAAAUACAACUCUUUAUUCUUUCUGGGUUAUUUUUCAUAUAACCAAAGCACCAACAACGAUGAAGAAAGAACUACAAAUGAUUAAAUAGAACUUCUCUAAAAUUCUACUUUGCUUUUGGAUCUGGAUGAGAAAAUAUAUAUUAUUUUGAUGAGGUUCUUGUUGAGUCAUUUGUUCAAACAGCAUAACGCAUUCCCCAGCGGAAACUAGUUCAAGACCAUUACAUGCCAAAAGUGAAAGCUGCUAUUGAGCAGAGGAAAUAGAAUGUUGCUGUUAACUUUGUAAAAAUUCUCAGCAGCUUAAGAGUUUACCAUUUACAAGGACUUUAUAUUUCAUUACUAUUGUAUAUUGUCUGCAAGAUAAGAAUGAAUAAAUGAAUAAUGGUUUUGGUGCUUGAGUGUGAACAAAUACUUUUUAAGUGUUUUCCCCCCCUUAAGAAUUAUAAGUUUUACCCAUUUCUUUUGCCUUGUGUCUUCUUUCACGAAAGUCGUUAAAAAAAAAAAAAGAAGGAAUUUAUUAAAUUCAUCAACAAUAUUCUAAAUUGAUAUGGUAUGUGAUAAAGUUUUUUUUAUGGAUACACGUACAUAUGGUGUGAAUGUGAUAAUCUAUCUCAUCUACGACUUUCUUUCAUUACUUGAAAUAAAAAGCAUUUCUUCAAGUACA